UCGAGAAUCUUCGGCAAUGGGGGCAACCCUGACCGAGCGACGCCGCGUGCGGGACGAAGGCCUUCGGGUUGUAAACCGCUGUCAGUUGGGAGGAAGUGCCGGGGGGUUCUCCCCUCGGUUUGACCGAUCUUCAGAGGAAGGACGGGCUAAGUUCGUGCCAGCAGCCGCGGUAAGACGAACCGUCCAAACGUUAUUCGGUAUCACUGGGCUUAAAGCGUGCGUAGGCGGCCUGGUAGGUGAGGUGUGAAAGCCCACGGCUCAACCGUGGAAUUGCGCUUCAAACCACCAGGCUGGAGGAUGGCAGGGGUGAUGGGAACUGAUGGUGGAGCGGUGAAAUGCGUUGAUAUCAUCAGGAACACCGGUGGCGAAGGCGCAUCACUGGGCCAUUUCUGACGCUGAG
This 400-nucleotide ribosomal RNA is filed under the name uncultured bacterium. Its description in RNAcentral is "bacterial SSU rRNA". It matches the Rfam family "Bacterial small subunit ribosomal RNA", at positions 355 to 750 of the family's 1533-position model. The record is from RNAcentral.